GAUGAACGCUGGCGGUGUGCCUAAUACAUGCAAGUCGAGCGAACGGACGAGAAGCUUGCUUCUCUGAUGUUAGCGGCGGACGGGUGAGUAACACGUGGAUAACCUACCUAUAAGACUGGGAUAACUUCGGGAAACCGGAGCUAAUACCGGAUAAUAUUUUGAACCGCAUGGUUCAAAAGUGAAAGACGGUCUUGCUGUCACUUAUAGAUGGAUCCGCGCUGCAUUAGCUAGUUGGUAAGGUAACGGCUUACCAAGACAACGAUGCAUAGCCGACCUGAGAGGGUGAUCGGCCACACUGGAACUGAGACACGGUCCAGACUCCUACGGGAGGCAGCAGUAGGGAAUCUUCCGCAAUGGGCGAAAGCCUGACGGAGCAACGCCGCGUGAGUGAUGAAGGUCUUCGGAUCGUAAAACUCUGUUAUUAGGGAAGAACAUAUGUGUAAGUAACUGUGCACAUCUUGACGGUACCUAAUCAGAAAGCCACGGCUAACUACGUG
This 497-nucleotide ribosomal RNA is filed under the name uncultured bacterium. RNAcentral describes it as "partial 16S ribosomal RNA". It matches the Rfam family "Bacterial small subunit ribosomal RNA", at positions 28 to 507 of the family's 1533-position model. The record is from RNAcentral.